This 253-nucleotide ribosomal RNA is filed under the name uncultured bacterium. RNAcentral's name for it is "partial 16S ribosomal RNA". It matches the Rfam family "Bacterial small subunit ribosomal RNA", at positions 524 to 776 of the family's 1533-position model. The record is from RNAcentral.
UACGUAGGGUGCGAGCGUUAAUCGGAAUUACUGGGCGUAAAGAGUGCGUAGGCGGUUCGUUAAGUCAGCUGUGAAAGCCCCGGGCUUAACCUGGGAAUGGCAUUUGGGACUGCAAGGCUUGAGUGCGGCAGAGGAGACUGGAAUUCCUGGUGUAGCAGUGAAAUGCGUAGAUAUCAGGAGGAAUACCGAUGGCGAAGGCAGGUCUCUGGGCUGACACUGACGCUCAUGCACGAAAGCGUGGGGAGCAAACAGG